AGCCACAGCUUUAUCGCCCUGCAGCCCAAGACGGGUCACUCACUAAAGCUAAGCAGGGCUAAGCCUGGUCAGUACCUGGAUGGGAGACCACAUAGGAAAACUAGGUUGCUGUUGGAA
RNAcentral lists this ribosomal RNA (117 nucleotides) under Danio rerio (zebrafish). Lineage: Eukaryota; Metazoa; Chordata; Actinopteri; Cypriniformes; Danionidae. The record is from RNAcentral.